This is a long non-coding RNA of Acanthopagrus latus (yellowfin seabream), 1269 nucleotides long. RefSeq lists it as uncharacterized. NCBI's taxonomy places the organism in Eukaryota, Metazoa, Chordata, Actinopteri, Spariformes, Sparidae. The transcript is spliced from 3 exons. The record is from RefSeq and is a predicted model, not a curated record.
UCACCGCCCGCCCCCUCAACAGCGCAGACUGUUUGGGAAGCGGGAGUCUGCAGCUGGCAACAGGUCAGAGGUUAAGAUGAGAAGACAACAGCAGCUCAGUCUAAGUGAUUUCUUUCUCAUGGGGAAGAAAAGAAAGAAAGGAAAUAGAUCAGAUGAAGUUCAUCUGGAAACUAACACUGGUGAGGAUGAUGCAGGGAGAGCCAGCACCUCAGAGUUGCAGCAGAGCUGCUCCGUGCCCUCCUCGCUCUGAGCAGACGAGCUGAAUAGACCCUCUGAAUUGAUGCCUUAUGGUGCCACUUUGUGCAGAAGCGAUGCUGAAGAAUCCACACUUGGUUUCAAAUCCUCCUCCCAAGGCUCCUAUACUGCAUUGAUCCUGCUCUGUAUGUACCCUCGCAAGGUAUUAUGUAUGCCUGUUAUGUGCUUCACUGCCACAGCAGACUCUAGCAAAAAGCCGAUCUACACCGCGGAGAGAAAAUGUAUCAGAUGGCUGAACUUGAAACCCUUUCUGGGUUGAAAUACGCUCUGUUCAUUUCAAUAACAAGACAGCCACUGAUCUAUCAUUAACAUUAGCCGUCGUCAUUGCCGUAUUGAAGCUGGAUUACUAACCAGCUUGUUCUAUAACAAAGGAGCCAUGUCAGAAAUAAUGUAGACCAUCUGUUAAUCGCGCAAUAAAAUUACAGAUAAUUAAUUCUUUCAAAUCGGUUACAAAAACAUAUUCAUACACACAAACACUAACACAGACCUGUUGUGUUUUUGUCAUUAGCGAGGAAAUUUAUGGUGCAUCCGCCUUAUAUCCGGGGCUCCCAGAGGUCUGAUCAUGAUGAUUUUGGUGAUCCAACAUAAGUUCAACAUUUGUUGUGCUUUAGUAAAUCAUCUCUACAACUACUGGAUGGACUGCUGUGAAAUUUGGUUUCUGUGUCCAGAGGAUAUGCUUUGAUGACUCUCGUGAUCCCCUGACUUUUAAUUUAGAGCCAAAGUUUUAAGUUAUACAGUGAAAUAUGUUGACAAUAUUUGUUAAAGAACACCAUGAAGUUGUUUGUGGUUCUGAGCAAAAAACUUUUGGAAGAUCGGCAUGAAACUUGUUACAGACAUUCAUUUCCCCUUCAGGAUAAAUUGUAUUAACCAGUGUGAUCCUUUGACUUUUCGUGGAAUCGAAAUUGGCCUUCACUCCAGUGUUUUGGUUUUUGGCCAUACUCCUGCAAAACUAACAUUUGCAUCAGUCUGAACUGCCUUUUUUGUAAGUACUAAUAAAAAAAUUCUGCAUGCUUA